AUUGGGAUCCGAUUUAGCCAUGCUAGUCGCACGAGUUCAGACUCGUGGCGAAUAGCUCAGUAACACGUGGCCAAACUACCUUUCGGAACACAAUACCCUCGGGAAACUGAGGCUAAUAGUGUAUACCAUACCACCACUGGAAUGAGUGGUAUGCCAAACGCUCCGGCGCCGAAGGAUGUGGCUGCGGCCGAUUAGGUAGACGGUGGGGUAACGGCCCACCGUGCCAAUAAUCGGUACGGGUCAUGAGAGUGAGAACCCGGAGACGGAAUCUGAGACAAGAUUCCGGGCCCUACGGGGCGCAGCAGGCGCGAAACCUUUACACUGCACGACAGUGCGAUAGGGGGAUCCCAAGUGCACAGGCAUAGCGCCUGUGCUUUUCGGUACCCUAAGGCGGUACCAGAAUAAGGGCUGGGCAAGACCGGUGCCAGCCGCCGCGGUAAUACCGGCAGCCCAAGUGAUGGCCGAUCUUAUUGGGCCUAAAGCGUCCGUAGCUGGCCGCGCAAGUCCAUCGGGAAAUCCACCUGCUCAACAGGUGGGCGCCCGGUAGAAACUGCGUGGCUUGGGACCGGAAGGCGCGACGGGUACGUCCGGGGUAGGAGUGAAAUCCCGUAAUCCUGGACGGACCGCCGAUGGCGAAAGCACGUCGCGAGAACGGAUCCGACAGUGAGGGACGAAAGCCAGGGUCUCGAACCGGAUUAGAUACCCGGGUAGUCCUGGCCGUAAACAAUGUCUGCUAGGUGUGGCUCCCACUACGAGUGGGUGCUGUGCCGUAGGGAAGCCGCUAAGCAGACCGCCUGGGAAGUACGUCCGCAAGGAUGAAACUUAAAGGAAUUGGCGGG
RNAcentral lists this ribosomal RNA (839 nucleotides) under Halorubrum sp. 11-10^6. RNAcentral's name for it is "bacterial SSU rRNA". It matches the Rfam family "Archaeal small subunit ribosomal RNA", at positions 32 to 872 of the family's 1478-position model. The record is from RNAcentral. Lineage: Archaea; Methanobacteriati; Methanobacteriota; Halobacteria; Halobacteriales; Haloferacaceae.